Long non-coding RNA from Homo sapiens (human), 494 nucleotides. RefSeq lists it as uncharacterized. The record is from RefSeq and is a predicted model, not a curated record. NCBI's taxonomy places the organism in Eukaryota, Metazoa, Chordata, Mammalia, Primates, Hominidae. The transcript is spliced from 3 exons.
AGGCCCAGGCCUACAAGGAAAGCGAGGGCUGAGGAAGGACGGCGGGAGGACUGCAGAGGGAGGCAGGCAGAGUGAGGGCGGCAGGCAGACAGCAGGAGUGAGUGGGCGCCAAGAGCUGGGGGGGAGGCCCACAGGGAGAGAGAAGGCAGAGGGCAGAGGGCAAGGCUGACACUGGAAUGUGGGGGCGGCGAGGCCCACAGGGGAACUGAGGGCGGCUCUCUGCAGGGUCAGAGGCAUUGGGCUUUCAGGGUCGCUUUUCUGCGAACUUCCGCUUGUUCCCGAGGUGGUGCCUGCCUGUGUCGUCGUCCCUGUUUGUUCUCCUACAAACCUCAGGAGUUUUCCAUGUUUCCCAGACCUUAAGCUUUGGAAUAAUUCACCAGUGAAGUCAUCUUGGCCUGGACGGAAAUUGGAUCCUCACAACAAUCACAAUAGCUUUGAAGGUGAUCCUUCCCCAGGACAGAGUCUUGCUGUGUCUCCCAGGCUGGAAUGCAGUG